CUUGCAUCCAUCCCCAAAGUAAUACCACACAGGCUGGAGGACCUGCUGGAAGAAGUAUGCCCAUGUUGAGGAGUCUGCAACCACGUGCUCUAAGAAAAAGAAGGCACCACCCUGAAAGACAAAAAUGUAUUACUUGGCUCUCCAGCCUUCAAGUCUCUGCCAGAUUUUCAGAACCUCCUGCCUGUAGAUGUCCAGCAUUUUUUCCUCACCCUCAUUUGAUCUCCUUGUUACGACCACGUUUUCUGUCUCCUGGAUUCGUCUGCCUUGCCUUGCCCUUGUCCUAUUUCUGCCGAGCUUCUGAUCUCUGGACGUUGGCCUUGUUUCUGUGCCCCAACCUCCGAGUUUUGCUAAACCCUUAAAGAAGUAAUCUGA
Molecule: long non-coding RNA, 372 nt
Organism: Girardinichthys multiradiatus
Lineage: Eukaryota; Metazoa; Chordata; Actinopteri; Cyprinodontiformes; Goodeidae
Exons: 2
Source: RefSeq, a predicted model, not a curated record